GGAAUAUUGCACAAUGGGCGAAAGCCUGAUGCAGCAACGCCGCGUGAGGGACGACGGCCUUCGGGUUGUAAACCUCUUUUAGUAGGGAAGAAGCGAAAGUGACGGUACCUGCAGAAAAAGCACCGGCUAACUACGUGCCAGCAGCCGCGGUAAUACGUAGGGUGCAAGCGUUGUCCGGAAUUAUUGGGCGUAAAGAGCUCGUAGGCGGUUUGUCGCGUCUGCUGUGAAAACCCGAGGCUCAACCUCGGGCCUGCAGUGGGUACGGGCAGACUAGAGUGCGGUAGGGGAGAAUGGAAUUCCUGGUGUAGCGGUGGAAUGCGCAGAUAUCAGGAGGAACACCGAUGGCGAAGGCAGUUCUCUGGGCCGUUACUGACGCUGAGGAGCGAAAGCGUGGGGAGCGAACAGGAUUAGAUACCCGAG
Molecule: ribosomal RNA, 420 nt
Filed under: uncultured Leifsonia sp.
Lineage: Bacteria; Bacillati; Actinomycetota; Actinomycetes; Micrococcales; Microbacteriaceae
Description: bacterial SSU rRNA
Rfam family: Bacterial small subunit ribosomal RNA
Source: RNAcentral